Long non-coding RNA from Oncorhynchus tshawytscha (Chinook salmon), 615 nucleotides. The record is from Ensembl. NCBI's taxonomy places the organism in Eukaryota, Metazoa, Chordata, Actinopteri, Salmoniformes, Salmonidae.
AGGCUAUAUACAGGGGUACUGGUACAGAGUCAAUGUGGAGGCUAUAUACAGGGGGGUACCGGUACAGAGUCAAUGUGGAGGCUAUAUACAGGGGUACCGGUACAGAGUCAAUGUGGAGGCUAUAUACAGGGGGUACCGGUACAGAGUCAAUGUGGAGGCUUUAUACAGGGGUACCGGUACAGAGUCAAUGUGGAGGCUAUAUACAGGGGGUACCGGUACAGAGUCAAUGUGGAGGCUUUAUACAGGGGGUACCGGUACAGAGUCAAUGUGGAGGCUAUAUACAGGGGUACCGGUACAGAGUCAAUGUGGAGGCUAUAUACAGGGGUACCGGUACAGAGUCAAUGUGGAGGCUUUAUACAGGGGGUACCGGUACAGAGUCAAUGUGGAGGCUUUAUACAGGGGGGUACCGGUACAGAGUCAAUGUGGAGGCUUUAUACAGGGGGUACCGGUACAGAGUCAAUGUGGAGGCUGUAUACAGGGGGGUACCGGUACAGAGUCAAUGUGGAGGCUAUAUACAGGGGGUACCGGUACAGAGUCAAUGUGUCAAUGUGGAGGCUUUAUACAGGGGGUACCGGUACAGAGUCAAUGUGUCAAUGUGGAGGCUUUAUACAGGGG